This 540-nucleotide ribosomal RNA is filed under the name uncultured Alphaproteobacteria bacterium. Its description in RNAcentral is "bacterial SSU rRNA". It matches the Rfam family "Bacterial small subunit ribosomal RNA", at positions 73 to 654 of the family's 1533-position model. Lineage: Bacteria; Pseudomonadati; Pseudomonadota; Alphaproteobacteria. The record is from RNAcentral.
CCCUCUUUUAGAGGGAGUGGCGCACGGGUGCGUAACGCGUGGGAACCUGCCCUUAGGUUCGGAAUAACUCAGAGAAAUUUGAGCUAAUACCGGAUAAUGUCUUCGGACCAAAGAUUUAUCGCCUUUGGAUGGGCCCGCGUAGGAUUAGAUAGUUGGUGGGGUAAUGGCCUACCAAGUCGACGAUCCUUAGCUGGUCUGAGAGGAUGAUCAGCCACACUGGGACUGAGACACGGCCCAGACUCCUACGGGAGGCAGCAGUGGGGAAUAUUGGACAAUGGGCGAAAGCCUGAUCCAGCAAUGCCGCGUGAGUGAUGAAGGCCUUAGGGUUGUAAAGCUCUUUUACCAGGGAUGAUAAUGACAGUACCUGGAGAAUAAGCUCCGGCUAACUCCGUGCCAGCAGCCGCGGUAAUACGGAGGGAGCUAGCGUUGUUCGGAAUUACUGGGCGUAAAGCGCACGUAGGCGGCUUUUCAGGUCGGGGGUGAAAUCCCGGGGCUCAACCCCGGAACUGCCCUUGAAACUGGAUGGCUAGAAUACUGGAG